CUUUAAUCCCCCGGGCAAGUAGGCUUCACAAAACCCGCUUCUCCCUCCCCUCCAGUCCGCACCUUUGGCCUCCCCUGCUUGUGCGAAUCCGCUUCAAUAGGGGCGGUGUGCACCUGCGGGGAGGGGCCGGGCGUCGGCUCUCCACCGUUGAUCUCCGGACGCAGAGCAUUACAAAGACCCCGGGCUUUGGUUUUUGAAGAGCUGACAGGCCUGGCCCUCUCCGCCUGACCCCCGACCUGCAGGUGGGCCGAGCCAUUGUCGCCGGCAUGUAAAGCCCCACGCGGGGCUGUGCUGGGUGCUGGAAAGGGGGAUCCAUUUCAGUCGGCGCAAAGAACAACAAACAGAUGGGCCGGGUGGAGAGAGAAACCCAAGCCAGAGCAGAAGAGAUGAGGAAAGCCCAGGCUCUCCACCUGUGGGGAGCUACGGGAGACCACAAGGUGCCUUCCAUGUCCUGCCGCACAUGUUCCUUAAGGGAAGGGAGCAAGGGACUAGACAACUUCCAUCUUCUCCAAAGGGACUUGUCCCUGAGCUGAACUUACAAUUGCUACCAUGACUGCCUCAGGAGAGAAAAGACACAAGAGAUUUCUCAGACAGAAUUCCUUCUUCUGUGGCUGUGCAUGUUUUGAAGAAACAUUUCUGGAGACUUAAGGAAUGACUUCCAUUUGUACCAGCACAAAGCAAAUUUCAUCUCCUACUGCCAGCUUGCUCUCUGAAUGGGGAUAUGUAGAACCUCUGAUGCAAAAAAAAGAGCCAUUUUCCCCUUGUCCUCAGGCCUUCCUUCUCUAGCUAGGUGAGCUCCUUGAGGAAAAAGGGAAGUCUGUGAUGAGUGGAACUUCAUCUCCUGUUGUGCAGUUUUAUGCCUAAUCUCCAGCCUUCAGAGAGAAUUGUGAAACAGAAUCAUCUAUCUGACCAUCACUCAAUGAUGAACAUUCUCCUACCGUAUCCUAUACAUCCCAAUGAAUCUUAACUCUUUAUUGGUCAUUAUCAUAACCCUAUUCCCCAUCCCACCACUCAGUUCUUUGUUCCCACCCCCUUCAAUCUUCCCACCCUAAAGUUCUAAUCUGUCCAGUCAGAGUUCUUACGGUCAAGGCAAAAGAGUUGGCAGACUGCUUACUUCCUACUGCCACUUCCAGGUUCUACUUCUCCAUCACUCCAUCAUCACUCACGUCCUCCUUUGAAGUUCAUGCUAUUCAUCUCUACCACCCAAUCAAAAUCCUUAAACCUGUUUACAAUAGAUGGACACCACCACCACCACCCUUUCUCCUUCAGGGAGUUCAUUACCUAACUCAUACCUUUUUUUUCCCUUCCCCCAACUCUUUCCCUCACAUUUGGAAACUUCACUAUACAUAUUGAUUCUCCUUCAAAUACCCUAUCCACUCAGUUCCUCAACUUCCUUCCUAUGACUUACUCCUCUACCCCUCUUAACCCACACACAAGGAUGGUCAUACCAUUGUUCUUGCCAUCACCUACAAAUGUACCUCUUUCAUAUUGAGGAAUUCCAAAAUCCCCCUAUUUGACCUCAUUCUAUUGGCUUUCCACCUCUCCCUCUGUCCUCCUUUACUUUUUUUUUGUCCACAUCAUGACCUUCAGUCUCUUGACCCUCUCAGUUUUCUUCCAGGCCAUAACCCCUGAACUAGCUACUCUCUAAUAGUUUCUCCAUCUUUACCUCCUUAGUAGACUGGUUUGAUUCAGUAUUUUCUUCUCUUGAGUUCCUAGUCCCCAUUAUCAUAUUGCCAGUUGCACCCUUCCAAGACACAGCCCUCCUUUCUACCUUCACUCCUGCACAUGGGCUGCUGAACACAGGGUGGAAAAAAUCACAUGAUCAUUCUAAUUGGGUCCACUACAGAUUUAUGUUACACGGCCUCCACUGGGCCAUCACUGUGGUUAGACAAUCCUACUCUACCUUAUCAAUCGACUAUGUCUAGCUCCAUAGCAAUGCUUCUAAAUUUUUUUUAUCCUUCUUCAAACCUCCCAUGGCUCCACCUCCCCCCACCAUCUCAGCUGAGAACCUAACUUUGUAUUUUACAAAAAAAAAAAAAAAAGAUUAAGGCCAUUCACAGUGAAUUCCCCCUUUUCACCUCUUCUUCAUCUCAUAUCAUUCAUAUGCCUCCACCACUAUCUCCUCCUUCACCCUUGUCUCACACAAAGAGGUGAACUUACUCCUUCCCAAGUCUAACCCCUCUAUCUGUACAAGUGAUCUCAUUCUAGUCCCAAUAGGUUGUUCCCUCUGUAUUUUCCACUUUAUUCCUUAUUUUCACUCUAUCCCUUUCUACUGGCUUCUUUCCUUCUACAUAUAAACGUGCCUCUAAAUCACUGAUUAGAGAAAUGCAAAUCAAAACAACUCUGAGAUAUCAUCUCACAACUAUCAUAUUAACUAAAAUGAUAAAAGGGCAAAAUGACAAAUGUUGAAGGGGAUGUGGAAAAAUAAAGACACUAAUACACUGUUGGUGGAACUGUGAAUUGAUCCAACUGUUUUGGAGAACAAUCUGGAAUUAUGCUUAAAUAGUUAUUAAACUCUGUAUACCUUUUGACUCUGCAAUCCAAUUAUUAGGUUUACUUGUUAAUGGUUAUUCUUGCUGAUGAUAUUUGAUGGCCUAGAGGAGCUAGAGGAGGCUACAAUUUGUGAGUAGGUGAGGUGUUGAAAGGUAGAGGUCUAGAUGGAGUGACCCCUACUUUGCUCUCUCACACACUCUUCCUAGGCUGCGAUACAAAGGGGGAACUCAGGAAUAUGUGGUUCCCCUGAGAUAAGUAGAUGAUGAGGAGUUGAAGGGAAGUCUCCCCUAUCGGUUGAUGUAAAGGGUACCCCCAAAUUCCUGUGCACGAACUGGCC
Monodelphis domestica (gray short-tailed opossum) is the source of this 2830-nucleotide long non-coding RNA. RefSeq lists it as uncharacterized. The record is from RefSeq and is a predicted model, not a curated record. NCBI's taxonomy places the organism in Eukaryota, Metazoa, Chordata, Mammalia, Didelphimorphia, Didelphidae.